This 597-nucleotide unclassified non-coding RNA is filed under the name Magnolia coco. RNAcentral's name for it is "partial contains small subunit ribosomal RNA, internal transcribed spacer 1, 5.8S ribosomal RNA, internal transcribed spacer 2, and large subunit ribosomal RNA". The stretch from base 231 to 386 matches the Rfam family "5.8S ribosomal RNA". Lineage: Eukaryota; Viridiplantae; Streptophyta; Magnoliopsida; Magnoliales; Magnoliaceae. The record is from RNAcentral.
UUAUCAUUUAGAGGAAGGAGAAGUCGUAACAAGGUUUUCAUAGGUAAACCUGCAGAAGGAUCAUUGUCAAGGCCUGUCAAGCAGUAAGACCUAUGAACCGGUGACCCUAAUGAGAAGCGCAUGGCUAGAAGAGCGCGGCGAACCACGUUCGGUGCGAUGGGCACCAAGGAAUUGAGAUGGAAUAAGCGCGGCUCCCUCCGAGGAUGCCGGCGUGCGGUCGGAUCUUACACGACUCUCGGUAACGGAUAUCUCGGUUCUUGCAUCGAUGAAGAACGUAGCAAAAUACGAUACUUGGUGUGAAUUGCAGAAUCCCGUGAACCAUCGAGUCUCUGAACAUAAGUUGCGCCCGAGGCCACCCGACCGAGGGCAUGCCUGCCUGGGCAUCAUGCAUCGUGCUGCCCCACCCGGUACUCUCCCCAUCCUGCUGCAGCAUCGUCGAGGGGCAGAGACUAGCCGCCCCUGCACCCCGCACCCGCGGCCUACCGAAAAGCAUUCGCUCGGGCAAAGCAAAGUGGCACCCAACUCGGCCACCCCGUGCGGCCCUUGCGCAGCGACCCUAGGUCAGACGGGGACACCUACUGAGUUUAAGCAUAUCAA